This 265-nucleotide ribosomal RNA is filed under the name uncultured bacterium. RNAcentral describes it as "partial 16S ribosomal RNA". It matches the Rfam family "Bacterial small subunit ribosomal RNA", at positions 793 to 1055 of the family's 1533-position model. The record is from RNAcentral.
GUCCACGCCUUAAACGAUGGGUACUAGGUGUUCGGGGUGUUGACCCCCUGAGUGCCGCAGCUAACGCACUAAGUACCCCGCCUGGGGACUACGGCCGCAAGGUUAAAACUCAAAGGAAUUGACGGGGGCCCGCACAAGCGGUGGAGCAUGCUGUUCAAUUCGACGCGACGCGAAGAACCUUACCUGGGCUAGACAACGGCGGACCGCCUGAGAAAUCAGGCUUUCCCUUCGGGGACUGCCGGUUCAGGUGUUGCAUGGCUGUCGU